This 850-nucleotide ribosomal RNA is filed under the name uncultured archaeon. RNAcentral's name for it is "bacterial SSU rRNA". It matches the Rfam family "Archaeal small subunit ribosomal RNA", at positions 18 to 873 of the family's 1478-position model. The record is from RNAcentral.
CGGAGGCUACCGCUAUUGGAGUUCGAUUAAGCCAUGCGAGUCGCGAGUCUUAGGGACUCGGCGUACCGCUCAGUAACACGUGGGUAACCUGCCCUAUGCUGGGGAAUAACCUCGGGAAACUGAGAAUAAUGCCCCAUAGUUCACCACGCCUGGAACGGUGGGUGGAUGAAAGCUCCGGCGGCAUAGGAUGGGCCUGCGGCGUAUCAGGUCGUAGGGGGUGUAAUGUACCCUCUAGCCAUCGACGCGUACGGGUGUUGGGAGACAUUGCCCGGAGAUGGAUUCUGAGACACGAAUCCAGACCCUACGGGGUGCAGCAGGCGCGAAAACUUGGCAAUGCGAGAAAUCGUGACCAGGGAACUCCAAGUGCAUCGGGUAAGACCGAUGCUUUUCUUGACUCUUCAAAGGUCUUGGAAUAAGGGGUGGGUAAGGACGGUGCCAGCCGCCGCGGUAAUACCGGCGCCUCAAGUGGUAGUCGCUUUUAUUGGGCCUAAAACGUCCGUAGCCGGUUUGGUACACUCGUGGGUAAAUCAAGGCGCUCAACGUCUUGAAUUCUGCGAGCACGGCCAGACUUGGGACCGGGUGAGGUGUGGGGUACUCUCAGGGUAGGGGUAAAAUCCUGUCAUCCUGAGAGGACCACCUGUUGCGAAGGCGCCACACUAGAACGGAUCCGACGGUCAGGGACGAAGCCUAGGGGCACGAACCGGAUUAGAUACCCGGGUAGUCCUAGGUGUAAACGCUGUGGACUUGAUGUUGGGAGUGCUCCGAGCACCCUCAGUGUCGAAGCGAAGGUGAUAAGUCCACUGCCUGGGGAGUACGGUCGCAAGGCUGAAACUUAAAGGAAUUGGCGGGG